CUAGCGACUUCAGAGUUUGAUCCUGGCUCAGGAUGAACGCUGGCGGCGUGCCUAACACAUGCAAGUCGAGCGGAGAUAUAUGUCUAGGAGAUUUCGGUCGAAUUAAUUGUAUCUUAGCGGCGGAUGGGUGAGGAACGCGUGGAGAACCUGCCCUUCACAGGGGGAUAACAGCUGGAAACGGCUGUUAAUACCGCAUAUGCUCACAGGAUCGCAUGGUCCAGGGAGGAAAGCCGAGACGGUGAAGGAUGGCUCCGCGUCGGAUUAGCCAGUUGGCGGGGUAACGGCCCACCAAAGCGAUGAUCCGUAGCCGGCCUGAGAGGGCGACCGGCCACAUUGGGACUGAGACACGGCCCAA
This 355-nucleotide ribosomal RNA is filed under the name uncultured bacterium. RNAcentral's name for it is "bacterial SSU rRNA". It matches the Rfam family "Bacterial small subunit ribosomal RNA", at positions 1 to 334 of the family's 1533-position model. The record is from RNAcentral.